Molecule: ribosomal RNA, 253 nt
Filed under: uncultured bacterium
Lineage: Bacteria
Description: partial 16S ribosomal RNA
Rfam family: Bacterial small subunit ribosomal RNA
Source: RNAcentral
UACGAAGGGUGCAAGCGUUACUCGGAAUUACUGGGCGUAAAGCGUGCGUAGGUGGUUUGUUAAGUCUGUUGUGAAAGCCCCGGGCUCAACCUGGGAAUGGCAGUGGAUACUGGCAAGCUAGAGUGCGGUAGAGGGUAGUGGAAUUCCCGGUGUAGCGGUGAAAUUCGUAGAUAUUGGGAAGAACACCGGUGGCGAAGGCGGCUCUCUGGACCGAGACUGACGCUGAGGCGCGAAAGCGUGGGGAGCAAACAGG